Molecule: unclassified non-coding RNA, 88 nt
Filed under: Pseudomonas jessenii
Lineage: Bacteria; Pseudomonadati; Pseudomonadota; Gammaproteobacteria; Pseudomonadales; Pseudomonadaceae
Source: RNAcentral
UGUGGGAGCGAGCCUGCUCGCGAUGCAGGCGCCACGGUUUUACAGCUGCACCGUGUCAUCGUUCAUCGCGAGCAGGCUCGCUCCCACA